ACAAACCCCUCAACUCCAUCUUCAUUUUCUUUGGACACUUUUGUUGGCCAUAUCCAAGAUUUAUCCAUUUCAACAAUGAUGCAUAUUAAUGUAAAAUUUUAUUUAAUUGAAACAAAUGGGGAAAUUAAGUUGCCAUGCAUCAUUCCCAACAUACAAUAAAUUAUUAAAUUAAGCAAUCACGUAUCAUUCCCAACAUACCCAAAAUUGUUAAAUUAAGUAGCCAUGCAUGCCUUCCUCACAUGUAAAGCAACAAAGGACAAAACAAGACAUUUGUUGUCAAGGAACCCAUUAUCACAAGUCACCAAUGUAUAGCUAAAGUGAAAAUGUAUUUAUGUUAAACAUGUAUUCAUAUCUUCAGCAAUCAAACACCUUCUCGUAAUUUUGUAGACGAUUUUAGCACAGCAGUAGAACAACAAUUUAUAAAAUUGAAUUAGUUGAAGAAACAAUCUGCCAACCACAUGCAAACUAGAACAAUAUUAGUACUUUUAUCAGUAAAUAUAUUGAUCAUGGUCAGAAAGGUAAAUUUAUUAGUAAAUAUAUUAGAAUCAAUAUUCAUAUAAUAUCAAUUUCAAAUGACAGAUUGACAAGUACAUAAUAUAAAUUAGAAAGAAACAAUGAAAACACCUCAACCAAUAAAUACGGUUUUAAUAGUAUAUCUAGGAUGACGAGGAAGAUGAACUAAAUUUCUGCAUACUACAGUCAAAUUCACAAAAUCUUUAAAAAUUCAAUACCAAGGCUAUUCAUAUGAUUCCAAUUGUAAAUGAAAGGUUGAUAAGUGUAUAAUGUGAUGUGGAAACAAGGUAUGAAAAAAUCACAGCCAAUAGAUACAAUUUUAGAAGCUUAUCCAACAUGGUGAGAAAGGUGGAUAAAAUUUCUACCUCUUAUAAGUAAUUUCAUAAAAUCAUUACGAAUUCAAAAUGCUAUACAUAUGAUACUAGUUGCAAAAGAAAGCUUAAUUAAUGUAUAAUUUGAAAUAAAAAGAAAAUAAGCAAAUAACUUAUCCUUAGUACAAUAAUCAAUAACUCAUACAUUUUGUCAAAUACCUUAGAGGCACAAUUUUGUAUCAUCUUCUUUUGAAAAAUCGUGUUUUAAAUUCUACCAGCACAAAUACCAUACCCAACAACAGAAAAACAUGUAAAUGUUAAAAAACAAUACCCAGCCCAAAUUGGAUAAAAUUAAAAAUAAAACUAGCUCCAAGUGUUUCAAAUUGAUGUUUUCCAUUAUUGGAUAUUGUUAUUUUGAUGAGAGAUUAAAGAAUAAAGUAGCAGAUAAUAUGAUAUUUCAGAAAUUAAAUGAAAUUAGCCCCCAAUUGCUUCUAAAAUAAAGGAUUCUACUAUUGAUUUGAUUAUAGUCAAAAUUGAAGAAACUAUAAUGGCUUACUUCUUUUGUAGGUUUGACAGGCUUGUUGCUUGAAUCCUCUUUUAAAUCUUCUUCUUUAGAAUCGCUAGGUGAUGUGGCUUAUCAAUUUCUAUUUGCAUAUUCAAAGAAAGGCAUGCUUGUUAAUUAGUAUGUAUCUGGCCGAAGGGUGAUUGAAGUGAAAAAGCUAGCAAGAGGGAUUUAAGGAAAUUGAAGGGGAUUUCGAUUUCAGUGGAACAAACAAGGGGCCUUAAAUUUGAGUUAGAAGAAUAAAGAUUCUAGGGUCACAACUUUUGUCGAUUUUGUUUUAGGGUUCCUGUAGAAAGCAAGGAGGGAAAUCGAUUUUAGAGGGAGGGGGAAAUGAGGAGCCAAAAAACUUCCAACUGUUCAAUUUAUAGCGAUAACGUUUUAGCAAUUAGAAUGAUGCCGUUUAGAUUUAAGAAAAUUGAAAAAAUUAAAAUAAAAUUAAAAUUACUUUUCCAAUUAGCAUUAAUGCUUGGUUAUGAUACAAUUGUAUCAAUGAUCACUGACACUUAGAUGUAAAAAGUUUUAAAAUCCGCUUAGGUCAUGAAAUGCUGGUGCUUUUUUAUUUAGCAUCAUAAACGUAGUUUCAGUGUUUCUCAUUUUUCUAGUAGUGAAUAAAAGUAAGAUUGAAUGAUUCAAAUGAGAAUAUGUCAAUUUAAUGAAAUUAAAAAGAAGUAAUACACCUAAAUAAAGGGAUAUUAUCAGUCUAACCUCAAAUCAAACUAAGAACAAAAUUCUUUCAAGGUCAUAAAGCAAACAACCUAAGCAAAAUGUUGUCUAAAAAAUGAACAUGCAUGCAAAGUUAAUAAAUAAAUAACAAUUAAAAACUACGUAAAACAAUAAUUAUGGACACCUAUAUCAUCACAAUGCAAAUAUAACAAUAUCUCAAGCGAUGGAUUAGACCACCAAGAAAAACCAGUGUGAGUCGUGCCAAGAUUAUUGAGCUUUUUAAAUUAAUAGAUACAAAUCAUUAUCACGCCCUAAUUAAUUAAUUUUGUAAUUUUCUUCAACUAAACACAAAAACUUUUAUGCUUGAAUAAAAUUAACAUAUUUUUUGUUUAGUACUUAUCUCUUAAUCUGUAUAAUACUGGUUGGCAAAUUUGCAUCCACCAAAUUUCUAACUAAAAACAAAUGUUAUUUUAUAUAACCGUUUUUUAAAUGCAAACAUCAACGGCCUGAGGAAAACUUCAUUAUAGGAAAAAGAAAGAUGCAUACACCUAAAACCUAACACUGUAUAGGUGUUUAUUUUCUAUGAAAGAAAUUGGGGACCGAAUAUUAUGAAAAGUAAUUUUUUCACCUGUUGUCCCUAAGCAAACAUUUUCCACCAUGUGUCUUAAUUUACCAUGAAAAGUAAUUUUGUCAUCAAGCUCAUUUUCAUUUCGCUAUCAUGCAAAACUCUUUAAUACAUUAUUAAGGUAGGAAUGCAAGACUAUAGUUUAGAGGUUUAUAGACUUUUGUAUAGAAUUAAAAUAAAUUUAUGUGCAACAAGUCCCGCAUUGGGCAUUACCUUAUUACCUGAAGAAUUAGACGAAAAUAAACACUUUUAGAAAUAAUACUACAUUCAGCCCAUCCUCCAAUGUAUUGAUGUCAUACAUCACUACAAUUAAUAUACCUCAUAAAUCUCAUCCAGAUAUUGUUAGAACAAGAAAUUCUUGGUGAAAAUCAUCACUUAUAACUCAAGAACAUUCAUUUUGUAUCAUCAAGAAUUAAUAACACAUUAUUCAGAAGCGUACCUGAAUCUAUAAUGCUGCAUUGCUUUCUAAGGUUGUGUGGUUGGUAUUCUAGAUUAACACAUUCUCCUAGAUAAUCCUGUAAUUUUCUCUACGCUCUCUCUGAUGAUAGGAUGUCAGAAAGAGUAGAAAGAUAUUUGUGACCUUCGGACCAUGACCAUUUAUAUAGACAACUCUUCCAUUGUUUUUAGGUAUUUCUAUUUCAGUCAGUCAUGAAAGUAGAAAUUAUCCUCAAGCCUCUAUACAUAAAAGGACUAUACUCUAUUAGAUACAUUAAAGCUCAAAUUACCAAAAACCUUAAUGGGUCACUUUUAAUUGAACUUAGCAUUAUAUGCAACACAUAAUUAUUUAUAUAUAAGCCCAACAUUGGAUUAAAGAUCUAACAAUAUUAGAUUAGAAAAUCCAACAAUCUCCCACUUGGGCUACAUGUGUAACCUUAUAAUUAUACUUUGCGAAAAUAAUUGUGUGAGCUCAACCUUAUUGUCAUUACCAAAAUGUACCUAUAACCAAUCUAGUCCAUCAAUCAUACCAAUAUAGGAUCAAAGUGGCCUUCGUUGCACUAUCAUAACUCAACCCAUCAAUGAUUGUUAUGCUAAUACAAGUGAAUGACAUGGAUCAUAAUGUGGAUAUGUAGUAUGGAAUUUCAUGAAAUGUGAUCUUAACAUACCUAUUUCCAACUGGUCCACCUUAAACCUUAGUGAGAUCAAACCAUACUAAAUUUAGAGUGUGAAUAAACUAAUUUUUUUUUGUAGAAAAUAACUUUAAACAUCUAUAAACCGAAAUAACUGAAAAAGUAUCUGUAACAUAAGACAUCUAAAGUGAAAAACUGAAACGACCCGCCCCGCAACUCCCCAGGGCGAGUCUAUCUAAACUCGUAAAAUCGAAACUAUUCUAUAAAAAUUUCGGCAGAGUCUCCCUUAUAAAUAAAACAUAUCCAAUCCUGCAAAUUAUAAAGCAACACUCCCAAAUAAUUUAAUAUCUAACCAUCCUCCAUAACCAACUUCUCAAAUCAAAAUAUCAAACAUCACCAAAAUCAUCCGAAUAUUAAAAUACAA
RNAcentral lists this long non-coding RNA (4165 nucleotides) under Citrus x clementina. RNAcentral's name for it is "Citrus clementina (C. clementina) long non-coding RNA (CCLE_LNC002595)". The record is from RNAcentral. Lineage: Eukaryota; Viridiplantae; Streptophyta; Magnoliopsida; Sapindales; Rutaceae.